AUGCUGCGUUUCAAAUGCGCGUGGGUUCUUCUGUGUCUCGCGGCUGUCAGAGGCUUUUGGCACCGCUCAGAUGUAUCAGCUGUUAUACAUGGAGGCCUGUCACGCCCAGGUUUCAUCAGAUCUCUCAAGGAAGCCAACAUGAUGUUCGAGUUCUUACUGAGUGGACUUGUGAUUGAUGUGGACAACAACGUUGCCAUGAGGGACCAAGAAAUGGCCUCCACGAGGCAGGGCCGAGCUUUCUUAGCCCUUAUAAAUGAUAACAUCCCCAAGACUGUGCCAGCAAUGGAGGAGCUACUGAUCGCUCUCGAGGAUGAAGAGAAGUCCUUCAGUCAGUCCAGUUUUGAGACCCUCAUCCUGGGGAUCAUCUAUUCAGCCUACCAGGUCCAGAAACAAGAGGUUGAGAGGCAGGAAGUUCAACAGAAAGCUUGGGCAGAUGUCCUUGGGCGCCUGGCAAAUGUUACUUUCGUUCAUCUACGCAGCUACUGA
Pygocentrus nattereri (red-bellied piranha) is the source of this 486-nucleotide long non-coding RNA. Lineage: Eukaryota; Metazoa; Chordata; Actinopteri; Characiformes; Serrasalmidae. The record is from Ensembl.